Lagopus leucura (white-tailed ptarmigan) is the source of this 598-nucleotide long non-coding RNA. RefSeq lists it as uncharacterized. The record is from RefSeq and is a predicted model, not a curated record. NCBI's taxonomy places the organism in Eukaryota, Metazoa, Chordata, Aves, Galliformes, Phasianidae. The transcript has 6 exons.
CUGGUCCUUGGGACAGCUUUUCCCAGCAGUAAAAAACUGGGGAAAUGCCAGCCUCAGCUCUACUUUCCAUCAACAGGAACACUGAAAGUAUCUGGUGUUGUAAUAUGGAUCCAGCAGAACACAAUGAAUUUUGCUAUGAGCUUGGAUGCAAUGUAAAUAAUUUAAACACAAAUCUUGAACUUUUCCUGCGAGCAAGACAUGAUGCAGCCUAGGUCAUCCACCUCAGAUUCUUACAUCAGAAGGCAAGUUGGAGAUGAGUUUACAUGUUUACAUGUGGUGAUUCUCAUUUCAAGAAUUUAAGGAACUAUAAGACAUAUUGGGGAAUUCCUAUGUUCUCCAUUUUUUUUUUUGUCUUCCCAAGAGGGCUCAAAUGGAAGAAGAAAUCACAGCAAUGUGACAUGAUGAAAUACACUGAUGACAGACUUUGAUUUCUUGCCAUACGCAGUAUGCACUGUGGUGCAGAGGACUCCGGUUGCUGUAAUUUUCAGAAGGAAGAAUAACGAUCACAGGGAACUGACCUCGUACUUGCUAUGACUGAAAAGUUCUUAAAGAAAACUCGUGGCAGGCAGUGGAUAGCAAGGAGGAGCAGCCCAAAAUC